ACCUGAGGGGAUAUCUCAGUCUGCAGAGCAUGGGACUCUUAAUCUCAGGUUUGUGGGUUCGAGCCCCACGUUGGGCA
Non-coding RNA from Podarcis lilfordi (Lilford's wall lizard), 77 nucleotides. The record is from the annotation of a GenBank genome assembly. Lineage: Eukaryota; Metazoa; Chordata; Lepidosauria; Squamata; Lacertidae.